This 254-nucleotide ribosomal RNA is filed under the name uncultured bacterium. Its description in RNAcentral is "partial 16S ribosomal RNA". It matches the Rfam family "Bacterial small subunit ribosomal RNA", at positions 524 to 776 of the family's 1533-position model. The record is from RNAcentral.
GACGAACCGUGCGAACGUUAUUCGGAAUCACUGGGCUUAAAGCGCGUGUAGGCGGGCCGCCACGUCGGGCGCUGAAAUCCCCCGGCUCAACCGGGGAACGGGCACCGAUACGAGCGGCCUGGAGGGGAGUAGGGGGACCUGGAACUUCCGGUGGAGCGGUGAAAUGCGUUGAGAUCGGAAGGAACGCCCGUGGCGAAAGCGAGGUCCUGGGCUCCUGCUGACGCUGAGACGCGAAAGCCAGGGGAGCGAACAGG